AUUGAACGCUGGCGGCAGGCCUAACACAUGCAAGUCGAGCGGAUGAAGGGAGCUUGCUCCUGGAUUCAGCGGCGGACGGGUGAGUAAUGCCUAGGAAUCUGCCUGGUAGUGGGGGAUAACGUCCGGAAACGGGCGCUAAUACCGCAUACGUCCUGAGGGAGAAAGUGGGGGAUCUUCGGACCUCACGCUAUCAGAUGAGCCUAGGUCGGAUUAGCUAGUUGGUGGGGUAAAGGCCUACCAAGGCGACGAUCCGUAACUGGUCUGAGAGGAUGAUCAGUCACACUGGAACUGAGACACGGUCCAGACUCCUACGGGAGGCAGCAGUGGGGAAUAUUGGGCAAUGGGCGAAAGCCUGAUCCAGCCAUGCCGCGUGUGUGAAGAAGGUCUUCGGAUUGUAAAGCACUUUAAGUUGGGAGGAAGGGCAGUAGGUUAAUACCUUGCUGUUUUGACGUUACCAACAGAAUAAGCACCGGCUAACUUCGUG
This 484-nucleotide ribosomal RNA is filed under the name uncultured bacterium. RNAcentral's name for it is "partial 16S ribosomal RNA". It matches the Rfam family "Bacterial small subunit ribosomal RNA", at positions 30 to 507 of the family's 1533-position model. The record is from RNAcentral.